UCGCACAGCCGGGGAGGUAGCGGUGCCCUGUACUUGCAAUCCGCUAUAGCAAGGGUGAUGUUCUUUCUCGGGUGGUGCUUGUAUGGUCUGUCCUGUAGAAACGGUGUUGAGAUUUGGGUCCCGUGCAACAAAUUGGCUGUGAACCUCGUCAGGUCGGGAACGAAGCAGCGAUAAGCAGUCAAAUUUGUGUGCCCCGGGGUCGCCUGAGUUGAGUCGUUUGUGCAGGCAACGCAUGGAGGUAUCAUUCAAAAAAGAACGUGCGG
RNAcentral lists this signal recognition particle RNA (263 nucleotides) under Oscillospiraceae bacterium. RNAcentral describes it as "signal recognition particle sRNA large type". It matches the Rfam family "Bacterial large signal recognition particle RNA". Rfam says of the family: The signal recognition particle (SRP) is a universally conserved ribonucleoprotein involved in the co-translational targeting of proteins to membranes. Archaeal SRP consists of a 7S RNA and homologues of the eukaryotic SRP19 and SRP54 proteins. In most bacteria, the SRP consists of a 4.5S RNA and the Ffh protein (a homologue of the eukaryotic SRP54 protein). Lineage: Bacteria; Bacillati; Bacillota; Clostridia; Eubacteriales; Oscillospiraceae. The record is from RNAcentral.